This 465-nucleotide ribosomal RNA is filed under the name uncultured bacterium. RNAcentral's name for it is "partial 16S ribosomal RNA". It matches the Rfam family "Bacterial small subunit ribosomal RNA", at positions 339 to 795 of the family's 1533-position model. The record is from RNAcentral.
CUACGGGGGGCUGCAGUGGGGAAUAUUGCACAAUGGGCGCAAGCCUGAUGCAGCCAUGCCGCGUGUAUGAAGAGGGCCUUCGGGUUGUAAAGUACUUUCAGCGGGGAGGAAGGGAGUAAAGUUAAUACCUUUGCUCAUUGACGUUACCCGCAGAAGAAGCACCGGCUAACUCCGUGCCAGCGAGCCGCGGUAAUACGGAGGGUGCAAGCGUUAAUCGGAAUUACUGGGCGUAAAGCGCACGCAGGCGGUUUGUUAAGUCAGAUGUGAAAUCCCCGGGCUCAACCUGGGAACUGCAUCUGAUACUGGCAAGCUUGAGUCUCGUAGAGGGGGGUAGAAUUCCAGGUGUAGCGGUGAAAUGCGUAGAGAUCUGGAGGAAUACCGGUGGCGAAGGCGGCCCCCUGGACGAAGACUGACGCUCAGGUGCGAAAGCGUGGGGAGCAAACAGGAUUAGAUACCCUAGUAGUC